This 21-nucleotide microRNA is filed under the name Drosophila ananassae. RNAcentral's name for it is "miR-304-RA". The record is from RNAcentral. RNAcentral also lists the same sequence under 3 other names. Lineage: Eukaryota; Metazoa; Arthropoda; Insecta; Diptera; Drosophilidae.
UAAUCUCAAUUUGUAAAUGUG